Molecule: unclassified non-coding RNA, 201 nt
Filed under: Hevea brasiliensis (rubber tree)
Lineage: Eukaryota; Viridiplantae; Streptophyta; Magnoliopsida; Malpighiales; Euphorbiaceae
Source: RNAcentral
UGAAAGGAUAGUGACUAACGAAAAUUCGUGGGCCAGUUCUCCGGGUAUUUCUGAAGAUAGGGGUAGCAUAGAAGAAUUUCUUGAGGAGGUCAAGGAAAGACUGAACUGUGAAUUGCAAGGAACAAAUUCCAAGAGGAGCAUUACUGUCAGGGGAGGAGGGAUUGAGACCCCUUAUAGUGAAAGGUCACCAGAUGCGAAGCA